This 65-nucleotide small RNA is filed under the name Arabidopsis thaliana (thale cress). RNAcentral's name for it is "ATSL057090". The record is from RNAcentral. Lineage: Eukaryota; Viridiplantae; Streptophyta; Magnoliopsida; Brassicales; Brassicaceae.
CACUGGAGAAGAAGAGAACAUGGACAGAGAAGACAUUAAGAUGCUGGUCAAGAAAUGGUGGGACA